UCGGGGGUGGGGGGACAGUCUCUGUCUGUCACCCAGGCUGGAGUGCAGUGGCACCAUCUCAGCUCACUGCAGCCUCUGCCUCCAGGGUUCAAGUGACUCUCCCACCUCAGCUUCCCAAGUAGGUGGGACUAUAGACAUGGGGCACCACACCCCACUAAUUUUUGUGUUUUUGGUAGAGAUGGGGUUUUGCCAUGUUGGCCAGACUGGUCUUGAACUCCUGACCUCAAGCGAUCUACCCGUCUCCACCUCGCAAAGUGUUGGGAUUAGAGGCGUGAACCACCGUGACCGGCUGAGAUUGAGUUAGUACCUGAAAAUGAAUUAAUAAAAUAUUUUGUAGCAAUAGAACAAAGGACAAAAACCACAUAAUCAUCUCAGUAGAUGCAGAAGUGUGUGACAAACACCAAUAUCCCUUUAUGAGAAAAACAGAAGGAAAUUUUCUCAACCUGAUAAAGGGCAUCUGAAAAACCCACAGCUAACAUCAUAUUCAGUGGUGAAAGACCAAAAGUUUUUUCCUAAGACAAAGAACAAAACAAGGAUUUCCGCUCUUGCUGCUUGUCUAGCCAAGGCAGUUAGGCAAGAAAAAGAAUUAAAAGCAUCCAGAUGGAAAGGAAGGCGUAAACUCUCUUUUGCAUGGUGAUUUUAUAUGUCAUUCUAAGAAGUUUACACACACACAAGAAAUUUUAGAGAUAAUAAAUGAGUUCAGCAUGGUUACGGGACAGAAGACUAACAUACACUAACCAGUUGUUCAAGACAAUUGAAUAGGGGAGAAUAGUCAUUUCAACAAAUGCUGCUGGCAGAAGUGGAUAUGAACAUGCAAAAGAGUGAAGCAUAUGGAUAUCCAUAUACAAAAAUGAACUCAAUAAAAGCCCUACAUGAAGUGUAAAAACUGUAAAACUCUGAGAAGAAAACGAGUACAUUUUCAUAAUGUUGGAUUAGGCAGUAAUUUCCAGAUUUGAUGCCUAAGCACAAGCAACCAAAGAAAAAAUGCAUCAAUUGUACUUCAAAAUUAAACGUUGUUAUGCUUCAUAGGACAUCUUCAAGAAGAUGAAAAGAAUCCCCAAAUAAUGGGAGGAAAUAUUUCUAAAUUUUAUGUCUGGUAAUGGACUUGUAUAUGUAAAGAACUCUUAUAAUUGAAUAAUAAAAGGGCAAAUAGCCCAACUGAAGAGGGCAAAGGAUCUGAAUAGGCAUUUCUGCAAAACACAUGAAAAGAAGCUCAACAUCAUUAGCCAUCAGGGAAAUGAUUUCACUUAAUGCCCACAAGGAUGGCUAUAAUCAGAACGAGAAGACAGUAACAAGUGUUCACAAGGAUAUGGAGAAAUGGGAACGUUGGAACUGUCAUAUGUUGCUGUGAGAAUGUAAAAUGGUGCAGCCGUUUUGGAAAAUAGCCUGGCAUUUCUUCAAGGUUAAAUGUAGAAUUAACACGUGACUCAGCAGUUCCAUUUCUGGGUUUAUACCCAAGAGAAAUGAAAAUAUAUGUCCACAGAAAAACUUGUACAUGGAUGUUCAUAGCAGCAGCAUCCAUAAUAGCCUCAAGUAGAAGCAACUCAAAUGUCUGUCAACUGAUGAACAGAUGACAAAACAUGGUACAAUGGAAUAUUACUCAGCAAUGAAAAGGAAUGCUUUAUAUGUUACAACAUGAUUGGACCCUAAAAACAUGCCAAAAGGCUGUGUAUUAUAUGACUCCAUUGAUAGGAAAGGAAUGGUUUACAUGUUACAACAUGAUUGAACCUUAAAAACAUGCCACAAACUGUGUAUGACUCCAUUGAUAUGAGAGGAAUGGUUUACAUGUUACAACAUGAUUGAACCCUAAAAACAUGUAUUAUAUGACUCCAUUUAUAUGAAAUGUCUCAAAGAGGCAGAUUCAUAGAAAGACUAGUGGUUGCCAAGGUCUUCAUUUUUUAGGGGUGCACUAAUGGAUGUAGGAUUUCUUUUUAGAGUGAUUAAAAUGUUACAAAAUUGCUGGCUGGGUGCAGUGGCUUAUGCCCAUAAUCACAGCACUUCGGGAGGCUGAAGUGGGAAGAUCCAGGAGUUGAAGACCAGCCUGGGCAACAUAGUGAGAAAAUGUCUCCCUAAAAGGAAGAAUUAACCUCAUGUGGUGGUGUGCACCUGUAGUUCUAGCUACUAGGGAGGCUGAGGAGGAAGGAUUGCUUAUCCCGGGAAUUCAAGGUUGCAGUGAGCUAUGAUUGCACCCACUGUACCUCAUCCUGAGAGAGAGAGCAAGACCCUGUCUCUAAAAGAAAAAUAAAUGUUCUGAAAUUGAUUAUGUUGACGGUCACAUAACUGAAUAUAUUAAAAACUUAAAUUGUAUACUUUAAGUUGGUGAUUGUAUGAUAUAUGAGUUUUAUCAAUACAGCUACUUAAAAACCUAUAGUUAUGCAAAUUAAAAAUUUCAUUUACUGGGGAUAAUUGAAAUGAUUAUACCGAACAUAAUACAUGUAGAAACAGUAUAGUUUUUGUAUUGCUGGAUAGUCUGUUUUUUUCUUUUUCAAUAUUUGAAACUAAAGGUCAUGUAAUUGAUGUUUUUCUUACAUAACUGUGAAAUAUUUAUUCUCUGUUGAAAUGUUUUAUCUUACGUUUUCUCCUUUAGGAAUGUUACGUUCAUAACUUACUAAGGAUUAGUGUAUAUUUUCCAACCUUGAGGCAUGAAAUUCUGGAGCUUAUUAUUGAAAAACUACUCAAGCUGGAUGUGAAUGCAUCCCGGCAGGGUAUUGAAGAUGCUGAAGAAACAGCAAAUCAAACUUGUGGUGGGACAGAUUCCACGGAAGGAUUGUUUAAUAUGGGAUUCGCAGAGGCAUUUUUGGAACAUCUUUGGAAAAACUUGCAGGAUCCAAGUAAUCCUGCCAUCAUCAGGCAGGCUGCUGGAAAUUAUAUUGGAAGCUUUUUGGCAAGAGCUAAAUUUAUUUCUCUUAUUACUGUAAAACCAUGCCUAGAUCUUUUGGUUAACUGGCUGCACAUAUACCUUAAUAACCAGGAUUCGGGAACAAAGGCAUUCUGCGAUGUUGCUCUCCAUGGACCAUUUUACUCAGCCUGCCAAGCUGUGUUCUACACCUUUGUUUUUAGACACAAGCAGCUUUUGAGCGGAAACCUGAAAGAAGGUUUGCAGUAUCCUCAGAGUCUGAAUUUUGAGCGGAUAGUGAUGAGCCAGCUAAAUCCCCUGAAGAUUUGCCUGCCCUCAGUGGUUAACUUUUUUGCUGCAAUCACAAAGAUGAAGACUUGUGGAUAUGGAUGGUGGUGAUGGUUGCACAACAAUAUCAAUUUAUUUUAUACCACUGAACCGUGCACUUCAAAAUGGUUAAGAUGGCUGGGGUGUAGUGGUGCGAUCUUGGCUCACUGCAACCUCCACCUCCCGGGUUCAAGUGAUUCUCCUGCCUCAGCCUCCCAAGGAGCUGAGAUUACAGGCAUGCGCCACCACACCUGGCUAAUUUUGUAUUUUUAGUAGGGAUGGGGUUUCACCACGUUAGCCAGACUGGUCUCGAACUCCUGACCUCAGAUGAUCCACCCACCUUGACCUCACUUACAGGCGUGAGCCACCGCGCCUUGUCUCUGUUAUAUUUAUUUCUCUAUUUAAAUUGAUGGAUAUAUGCAAACCUGAUCAUUAUCAUACUUAUGCCUUGACACAAGAGAGGCAAUAAACUAAUCUAAGUG
RNAcentral lists this long non-coding RNA (3645 nucleotides) under Homo sapiens (human). RNAcentral's name for it is "novel transcript". The record is from RNAcentral. Lineage: Eukaryota; Metazoa; Chordata; Mammalia; Primates; Hominidae.